RNAcentral lists this non-coding RNA (32 nucleotides) under Mus musculus (house mouse). The record is from RNAcentral. Lineage: Eukaryota; Metazoa; Chordata; Mammalia; Rodentia; Muridae.
UGGGUAUGACUUGCUGAGCACAGCAUUUAUAC